This 253-nucleotide ribosomal RNA is filed under the name uncultured bacterium. RNAcentral describes it as "partial 16S ribosomal RNA". It matches the Rfam family "Bacterial small subunit ribosomal RNA", at positions 524 to 776 of the family's 1533-position model. The record is from RNAcentral.
UACGGAGGAGGCAAGCGUUAUCCGGAAUUAUUGGGCGUAAAGCGUCCGCAGGUGGCUGUUCAAGUCUGCUGUCAAAGCGCAGAGCUUAACUCUGUACAGGCGGUGGAAACUGAAGAGCUAGAGUAUGGUAGGGGUAGAGGGAAUUCCCGGUGUAGCGGUGAAAUGCGUAGAUAUCGGGAAGAACACCAGUGGCGAAAGCGCUCUACUGGGCCAUAACUGACACUGAGGGACGAAAGCUAGGGGAGCGAAAGGG